CUAACGGCUCUUUUAAGAGCCACCCACAUUUCUUAGAGAGCUGCU
Molecule: non-coding RNA, 45 nt
Filed under: Marmota monax (woodchuck)
Lineage: Eukaryota; Metazoa; Chordata; Mammalia; Rodentia; Sciuridae
Rfam family: Histone 3' UTR stem-loop
About the family: The mRNAs of metazoan histone genes lack a poly-A tail. 3' end processing occurs at a site between a highly conserved stem-loop (modelled by this family) and a purine rich region around 20 nts downstream (the histone downstream element, or HDE). The stem-loop is bound by a 31 kDa stem-loop binding protein (SLBP - also termed the histone hairpin binding protein, or HBP).
Source: RNAcentral